Molecule: ribosomal RNA, 482 nt
Filed under: Fusarium solani
Lineage: Eukaryota; Fungi; Ascomycota; Sordariomycetes; Hypocreales; Nectriaceae
Description: eukaryotic LSU rRNA
Rfam family: Eukaryotic large subunit ribosomal RNA
Source: RNAcentral
CAACAGGGAUUGCCCCAGUAACGGCGAGUGAAGCGGCAACAGCUCAAAUUUGAAAUCUGGCUCCCGGGCCCGAGUUGUAAUUUGUAGAGGAUGCUUUUGGUGAGGUGCCUUCCGAGUUCCCUGGAACGGGACGCCACAGAGGGUGAGAGCCCCGUCUGGUUGGACACCGAUCCUCUGUAAAGCUCCUUCGACGAGUCGAGUAGUUUGGGAAUGCUGCUCUAAAUGGGAGGUAUAUGUCUUCUAAAGCUAAAUACCGGCCAGAGACCGAUAGCGCACAAGUAGAGUGAUCGAAAGAUGAAAAGAACUUUGAAAAGAGAGUUAAAAAGUACGUGAAAUUGUUGAAAGGGAAGCGCUUGUGACCAGACUUGGGCUCGGUUGAUCAUCCAGGGUUCUCCCUGGUGCACUCCUCCGGCCCAGGCCAGCAUCAGUUCGCCCCGGGGGAAAAAGGCUUCGGGAAUGUGGCUCUCUCCGGGGAGUGUUAU